This 1102-nucleotide ribosomal RNA is filed under the name uncultured bacterium. RNAcentral describes it as "bacterial SSU rRNA". It matches the Rfam family "Bacterial small subunit ribosomal RNA", at positions 73 to 1162 of the family's 1533-position model. The record is from RNAcentral.
UCACUGCUUGCAGUGAUUGAUUAGUGGCGAACGGGUGAGUAACACGUGAGGAACUUGCCCAUGAGCGGGGGACAACAUCCGGAAACGGAUGCUAAUACCCCAUAGGUGGAUUGGUCGCAUGACGAAUUCAUUAAAGGUGGCUUCGCUACCACUCAUGGAUAGCCUCGCGGCGUAUUAGCUAGUUGGUAAGGUAAUGGCUUACCAAGGCAGUGAUACGUAGCCGACUUGAGAGGGUGAUCGGCCACACUGGGACUGAGACACGGCCCAGACUCCUACGGGAGGCAGCAGUAGGGAAUCUUCCACAAUGGGUGCAAACCUGAUGGAGCAAUGCCGCGUGAGUGAAGAAGGUCUUCGGAUCGUAAAGCUCUGUUGUUAGAGAAGAACACGUGCUAGGUAACUACUAGCGCCUUGACGGUAUCUAACCAGAAAGUCACGGCUAACUACGUGCCAGCAGCCGCGGUAAUACGUAGGUGACAAGCGUUGUCCGGAUUUAUUGGGCGUAAAAGGGAGCGCAGGCGGUCUGUUUAGUCUAAUGUGAAAGCCCACGGCUUAACCGUGGAACGGCAUUGGAAACUGACAGACUUGAAUGUAGAAGAGGAAAAUGGAAUUCCAAGUGUAGCGGUGGAAUGCGUAGAUAUUUGGAGGAACACCAGUGGCGAAGGCGAUUUUCUGGUCUAACAUUGACGCUGAGGCUCGAAAGCGUGGGGAGCGAACAGGAUUAGAUACCCUGGUAGUCCACGCCGUAAACGAUGAGUGCUAAGUGUUGGGGGCUUUCCGGCCCUCGGUGCUGGAGCUAACGUAUUAAGCACUCCGCCUGGGGAUUACGACCGCAAGGUUGAAACUCAAAAGAAUUGACGGGGACCCGCACAAGCGGUGGAGCAUGUGGUUUAAUUCGAAGCAACGCGAAGAACCUUACCAGCUCUUGACAUCUUCUGACAACUCUAGAGAUAGAGCGUUCCCUUCGGGGACAGAAUGACAGGUGGUGCAUGGUUGUCGUCAGCUCGUGUCGUGAGAUGUUGGGUUAAGUCCCGUAACGAGCGCAACCCUUGUUGUUAGUUGCCAGCAUUAAGUUGGGCACUUUAACGAGACUGCCGGUGAUAAA